UUUUCCUACGGGACGCAGCAGUGAGGAAUAUUGGUCAAUGGGCGCAAGCCUGAACCAGCCAAGUCGCGUGAGGGAUGACGGUCCUAUGGAUUGUAAACCUCUUUUGUCGGGGAGCAAGGCCCGCCACGUGUGGCGGGAAGGAGAGUACCCGAAGAAAAAGCAUCGGCUAACUCCGUGCCAGCAGCCGCGGUAAUACGGAGGAUGCGAGCGUUAUCCGGAUUUAUUGGGUUUAAAGGGUGCGUAGGCGGAAGGUUAAGUCAGCGGUCCAAUGUCGGCGCUCAACACCUGCCUGCCGUU
Molecule: ribosomal RNA, 297 nt
Filed under: uncultured bacterium
Lineage: Bacteria
Description: partial 16S ribosomal RNA
Rfam family: Bacterial small subunit ribosomal RNA
Source: RNAcentral